RNAcentral lists this ribosomal RNA (460 nucleotides) under uncultured bacterium. Its description in RNAcentral is "partial 16S ribosomal RNA". It matches the Rfam family "Bacterial small subunit ribosomal RNA", at positions 338 to 795 of the family's 1533-position model. The record is from RNAcentral.
CCUACGGGUGGCAGCAGUGAGGAAUAUUGGUCAAUGGACGAGAGUCUGAACCAGCCAAGUAGCGUGAAGGAUGACUGCCCUAUGGGUUGUAAACUUCUUUUAUAUGGGAAUAAAAUGUUACACGUGUGGGAUUUUGUAUGUACCAUAUGAAUAAGGAUCGGCUAACUCCGUGCCAGCAGCAGCGGUAAUACGGAGUAUCCGAGCGUUAACCGGAUGUAUUGGGUUUAAAGGGAGCGUAGGUGGAUAGUUAAGGCAGUUGUGAAAGUUUGCGGCUCAACCGUACAAUUGCAGUUGAAACUGGCAGUCUUGAGUACAGUAGAGGCGGGCGGAAUUCGUGGUGUAGCGGUGAAAUGCUUAGAUAUCACGAAGAACUCCGAUUGCGAAGGCAGUUCACUGGACUGCAACUGACACUGAGGCUCGAAAGUGUGGGUAUCAAACAGGAUUAGAUACCCCGGUAGUC